GGGUUUAGGCAUGGGAGCUCACAGUGGAGUGCGGUCCUGGAUGAGUGGAUCUGAGUGGAUUCAAAUAAAGAGCGAGCGCGUGAACGGGGCGAGUGACGCGGUUUUCAUGCGAUUUGAAUGCCGACGCGACACGAGCGAUGGCGAGCGACGUAAACACGAGAAUUGGGUGCUUGCACGUCUGAGAUGCAAAACAAAACAGAGCCAAAGAGAAUUUUAAUAGAAAUAGGAGUCCGUGGAGAAUUAGGAAGUCAGACAUAAUCCCACGCCGUGAA
This 272-nucleotide long non-coding RNA is filed under the name Elaeis guineensis (African oil palm). RNAcentral's name for it is "long non-coding RNA (EGUI_LNC036553)". The record is from RNAcentral. Lineage: Eukaryota; Viridiplantae; Streptophyta; Magnoliopsida; Arecales; Arecaceae.